This 76-nucleotide transfer RNA is filed under the name Candidatus Bathyarchaeota archaeon. Its description in RNAcentral is "tRNA-Gly". It matches the Rfam family "tRNA". From Rfam's summary of the family: Transfer RNA (tRNA) molecules are approximately 80 nucleotides in length. Their secondary structure includes four short double-helical elements and three loops (D, anti-codon, and T loops). Lineage: Archaea; Thermoproteati; Candidatus Bathyarchaeota. The record is from RNAcentral.
GCGGUCGUCGUCUAGUCUGGUUCAGGACUCAGGCCUUCCAAGCCUGCAAUCCCGGGUUCAAAUCCCGGCGGCCGCA